Molecule: signal recognition particle RNA, 265 nt
Filed under: Paenibacillus methanolicus
Lineage: Bacteria; Bacillati; Bacillota; Bacilli; Caryophanales; Paenibacillaceae
Description: Paenibacillus sp. BL24 Bacterial large signal recognition particle RNA
Rfam family: Bacterial large signal recognition particle RNA
About the family: The signal recognition particle (SRP) is a universally conserved ribonucleoprotein involved in the co-translational targeting of proteins to membranes.
Source: Rfam by way of RNAcentral
CCGUGCUAGAUGGGGAGUUAGCGGUGCCCUGUAACUCGCAAUCCGCUUUAGCGAGGUUGAAUUCCUGCCCGAGGUUAUGUCGAUGUGGGGCUGGUCUUUACGAACAGUGUUGACGGAUGGGUCCUCCGCAAUGGACGCUUGUGAACGGGUCAGGUCCGGAAGGAAGCAGCCAUAAGCAAGUUAGUUCAUGUGCCGGAGGGGUGCCUGUCCCGAGCUGGGAGUAAAGUUGCCGCCCGGAUCGCAUGUAUCGAAGGCAGGUGCACGG